RNAcentral lists this long non-coding RNA (2649 nucleotides) under Sus scrofa (pig). RNAcentral describes it as "lncRNA (ENSSSCG00005011237.1)". Lineage: Eukaryota; Metazoa; Chordata; Mammalia; Artiodactyla; Suidae. The record is from RNAcentral.
UUUUUAUAAAGUAAAUUAAAUAUAAAUGAGAUAGGAUCUUUUGGGCAAACUCUUUAGGAAAUAAUUGUUUUAGGAAUGUCUAUUUAAAAAUAAUCUCUCCUGUAGUUCCUGUCAUGGCUCAGGGGUUAAAGAAUCUGACCAGCAUCCAUGAGGACUCGGGUUUGAUCCUUGGCCUCACUCAGUGGGUUAAAGGAUCCAGUGUUGUCAACAGCUGUGGUGUAGGUUGCAGAUGUGGCUUGGAUCCCGUGUUGCUGUGAUUCUGGCGUAGGCCAGAGACUACAGCUCCGACUGGACCCCUAGCCUGGGAACCUUCAAUAUGGCACAGGCGCAGCCCUAAAAAAAAAAAAAAAAAAAGACAAAGGACAAAAAAUAAAUUUAAAAAAAGUUAAGAGUUGUGCUAAAUUAAGGUAAAUGAUAGAAGUUUAUUGAAUAGCUAGGUCAUCGCCAAAUAAGAUACUGAAAGUUUUUGGGGGGCUGUGGCAUGUGCAAGUUCCCAGGCCAGGGACUGAACCCCCACCAUGGCAGCAACCCAAGCCACUGCAGUGACACCAGAUCCUUAUUCCACUGCACCACAAGGAAACUCCUAAAGGAUUAAUUAUUGAACAUUGGUGUCCUUUUACAGAAAAACUAAAAAUAUUUAGGACAAUUAAUAAAUGUUUGGUACCACACAGAUAUUUUUUAUGAGAAAGUACAUGCUUUUUAGAAGUUCUUUAUUGGUAUUUAUGUUUGACAAUCUACAGAAUUCUAAUGUAAAAGUUCACAAUUGCUUGCUUACUCUUAGUUUUCACUAGAAGUUAAGGUUUUAAGAGUUUAGGAUUUUAAUUUAAAUAUGUCAUUAAAGCUACUAGAAAUAAGAAAACAUUUCAGUCUAUGUAGGAAAGCAAGAUGUGUGUGUUCAGUAAAAGAAGAUAUGAGAAAUGGAAUUGCAUUUUGUUAAGGGAAAAGAAAGUAGUUUUGUCCUAGAGCUAGUUGUUUCUAGAUUGGGUUAAAAAAAGGGGGGGGGGAUAAACUAAUAUGGAUACAGAAAAUGAUGAAACAUUUUCUAAUGUGGAACAUGAACUCUGAGAAAGGAAUUUUGUAGAAGUUCAGGACUGGCUAAGUUAGGAAUAAAUUUAGUUGACUAGAUGAAUUUUAAAAGUAAGCUAGUGCAGGAGGUCCUAUUGUGUCUCAGCGGAAAUGAAUCAGACUAUUGUUCAUGAGGACGCAGGCCUGGUCCCCAGCCUCACUCAGUGGGUUAAGGAUCCAGCGUUGCUGUGAGCUGUGGUGUAGGUUGCAGACACAGCUUGGAUCCCUUGUGGCUUUGACUGUGGUGUAGGCUGGCAGCUACAGCUCCAACUUGACCCCUAGCCUGGGAACCUCCAUAUGCCAAGGGUGCAGCCCUAAAAAGCAAAAAAUAAAAAAUAAGAAGUAAACUGAUGCAAAACCUGAAUUUGGUUUUUCUCUCUGUUAAGAAGUUAAGUUUUCUUAAAAUGUUGAGAUGCCUUCGGGAGUUCCUGUUGUGGCGCGGAGGAAACAAAUCCGACUAGUAUCCAUUAGGAUGUGGGUUCAAUCCCUGGCCUUGCUCAGUGGGUCGGGGAUCUGGCGUUGCCAUGAGCUGUGGUGUAGGUCACAGACUUGGCUCAGAUCCCCUUGCUGUGGCUGAGGUGUAAGCCAGCAGCUGGAGAUCCAAUAUGAGCCCUAUCCUGGGAACUUCCAUAUGCCGUGGGUGCAGCCCUGAAAAGCGGGGGAAAAAAAAAAAAAGUUAAGCUUCCUUUGAUAAUAGAUUUUAAGUUUCUUCACAUUUUAAUUUUUUUAUCUUUUUAGGGCUGUACCCACUGCAUAUGGAGGUGUGGCCCUUGAAAAGACCAAAAAAAAAAAAAAAGAAUUUUAGUGGAAAACCUGAAGGCUUCAUAAAAUUAAUUAAAAGGUUUAGUUACACAGGACUGGGUGAACUAGUGAAUAUGGUUAUAAUUUUUAUGGUUUGUCUGAAAUAUUACUGGCUUUUAGUCUGCAUUUUCCAGAUAUAAGGUAAACCUUCCCCUCAAGCUAAUUAUGACUUACGACAGUUUGGUAAAUUAUACCUUUAUAAGCAGAAUUGAAAUAUCUUUUCUAUCUAAUCCCUCCAGAUAAGAGGUUCCCAACAGCUUUAUCAGGCCACCUCCUAACAGGUGCAGGAAUCUUAAGGUAUUUUGGGGACCACCCAAAGCUAUAGAUAUCAUAGGUAAAAUCUAUGACAAGGAAUUGGUAUGGCUUUCUUGGUCUUUUAAAAAUUUAAUCUGAGGUGUUACCACUGUGGCUCAGUGGUAACAAACCGAAACUAGUAUCCAUGAGGAAGAACGUGGGUUCAAUCCCCAGCAUUGCUGUGAGCUGUGGUGUAGGCCAGCAGUUACAGUUCUAAUUCGACCCCUAGCCUGGGAACUUCCAUAUACCAAGGGUACAACCCUAAAAAGAAAAAAAUAAUAAUAAUCUGAGAUUCCUUAUAAAAAAUACCAGCAAAGUUUUUUUUUGUUUUUUGUUUUUUUUUUUAAAUGGCCUCACUGCAGCAUAUUGAAGUUCCCAGGCCAGGGACUGAAUCUAAGCCACAGCUGCAACCUAUGCAGCUGUGGUAAUACCAGAUCCUUUAACCCACUGUGCUAGGCCAGGGAUCAAAUCCCAACUCUGCAGCGACCC